UCUUUGAUGGUCCAACGGUUAAGAUUUCCGCUUGUCAAGUACACCGCGGGAGACCGGGGUUCGACUCCCCGUCAGAGAG
Molecule: transfer RNA, 79 nt
Filed under: Blumeria hordei DH14
Lineage: Eukaryota; Fungi; Ascomycota; Leotiomycetes; Helotiales; Erysiphaceae
Description: tRNA-Asp for anticodon GUC
Rfam family: tRNA
About the family: Transfer RNA (tRNA) molecules are approximately 80 nucleotides in length. Their secondary structure includes four short double-helical elements and three loops (D, anti-codon, and T loops).
Source: Rfam by way of RNAcentral